This 2385-nucleotide long non-coding RNA is filed under the name Mytilus galloprovincialis (Mediterranean mussel). The record is from RNAcentral. Lineage: Eukaryota; Metazoa; Mollusca; Bivalvia; Mytilida; Mytilidae.
GGAGACAGCCUGGAUUACAUAAAUGGUCAAGCGUUUACUACCAAAGACAGGGACAAUGAUCCAUGGAUAGCCAGCAAUUACAAUAAUAAUUGUGGUAUAUACAGCAAGGGUGCAUGGUGGUAUAAAGGGUGUGGACAUUCUAACCUGAAUGGGUUACACGUAGAAGGAGGACAGACUAAUUAUAAAGGAAUGUUUUGGUACCAUUGGAAGAAUAACUCGCAUUCAAUACAAACUUCGUCAAUGAUGAUUAGGAGAUUAUAAUUGAAAAAGCAUGUCAAAUUAUAUUACUGUAAAAAUAAAACAUUUCAUAUUGCAUUGUAUAAUCUGUUUGUUAUUGAGCAGGAACUACUUGCACGUUUUUGGUAUUUUAUAUAUGCUUUUGCUCAUUUUAACGAUCUAAAUGUCAGUUUGAAACUUUCUGUGAAAAUUACUAAUAGUCUCUUUCAUGUUAUAUACAUAAUAAUGUCUUUAAAUAUAAGCAACAUAUUCCCAGAUAAAAGUCUGUGUUACAAAAUGUAUCUCACAAAGAAGUCAGCAUGAUUUGUGUAAAUGUUCCAAACCAUAUGAGUAUUUGGACAUACGCGUAUGGCCAUGACUAUAUUUUUAUACUCAUAUGGUCCGACCGUACGCCUGUGGUCGGACCAUAUGAGUAUAAUACUCAUUUGGUUAUCAAGGGGCCGGACCAUAUGAGUAUUUAGACCAUUGAGUUUUGGUUUUUUUUUUCAAAUAACUUUUAAACGUUUCAGUAGGCUUGGGUGACAUUUACUACCAAACGGUAUCAUGGCUUUUUUGCUUUUGCAAGUCUUGGUUGUGCACGAUCCUUUUCAGGUACACAGUUUGUUUGCGAGUGAAAAGCGAGCCUUUUUGCAGAUCGAUGCGUACAGUGAUACCGAGGUCUUUGGACAUUCGGAUCUCUACGGUGGUAUAACAAGCUCUUACUAAAUCCCAAAUAUCGCAAAAUAACUGCAAUACACCAUAUUCACAAGAAAUUUAAAAUAAACCAUGCUCCUUUCCAGUAACUUUUUGUGAACAGUUCAUUAAGAAAUGUUGGGAAUUUAAUUAUUUAAGUCGACAUAUCGCAAUUCACCCGUAAUAACAAAUCGGCAAUGGUCAUCGGUAAUGACCAUCGGUAUAAAAUGUGACAAGUAUAAGUAAAAUAAACUUUGUGAAAAUUCUUAUUUUUCAUUUAGCUAAUCUUUUUAUCAUAAUAUAAUAAUAAAAUUACCUAUAUGAUAGCAUCUUUUUAAUGAACGAUCAUGCCAUAUGCAGAGUUUAGAACUAUUAAAAGUAAGCUGUUACAUACUGUUAAUUACCCCCACCAUACGCGUACGGUCGGACCUUGUGAGUAUACACCCGUAUGGUCAUGACUAUACGCGUAUAGUCCAAAUAGUCAUACGGUCCGGAACAUAAAUAUAUUUCUUGGUGAAAGUUGCUGCCCAUAUAUAUUUCGACCCAAAACUAUUUGUGAAUUCCACUACAAAUAAAAUAUGUGAGUUUUGACAUUUACGACGUCAAAAUAACAAUCCAAGUGAUCUAUUGGGAUUGAAAUGUCCACACAUGUUUAGUUAUCAAUACAAUUGAUAUAAAUUUUAAGGCACACAUUUAGAUUUUUUCAAUACUAUAGACCAGAAAGGCUUUUUUUUGGACUUCCUUUUUUGUUCUUGAAUACGUAAGACCAAGUUUUCUCGUCAAUAGUGUUUUUGUGUUGCAGCUGAUUACCAAAACGAGAGAUCUCAAUACGGUGCUUAUAUUUGAUAAUUGAAACUUGCGGUCUCGAGUGUUUGUUUUAAUUGAAGUUAUUUGGAUGUUUUAUAGGGUUUUAUUACAUACCGGUAAGAGCUGUAUGUUGAUUACGUGUUAACCGGCCUACGAUUUUGCUUUGUUUCUUAUAAUUAUAUUGAAUAAGAGAUACAGCUUUAGGACAUUAAUAAAGUAAUAUUGCGUAAAUGAUAAUGUUAGAGAUCAUAACGAAUUACUCUCAUAAAACAUGUUCUUGGAUUAAUUUGCACUUCUCAUAAGUGCAAAUUGGAAACCACACUUUUUUAAUCGUAGAAUCAUCAAAUUAAACUAUAAUAGUCUUGCCAAUUGCGUAGUUUCUUCUGUCAUCUAUUCUCACAUCGGACAUUAAAUAACAAUUGCCAUAUUCCUUACUUGGUCCAGGACAGUUUAAGAAAGAAAUAAACUAAUUGUUAUAGCAAUGCAUGAAUAGAUCGGCUAUUAAUGGGGCACAGUAAGUACCUAUAUAAAUACCUGCAACUUGCUGGUACAGUUUAUAGACGAAACGUACAUAUUUUUUUUACAGCAGAGAAUUUAAAGAUUUAAUCAUAUCUUCACAUUUCCAGUAAGUGUAUCUAGCAUACUUUACUUUUUCAUCACAGAAAUGGG